RNAcentral lists this ribosomal RNA (815 nucleotides) under uncultured archaeon. RNAcentral describes it as "bacterial SSU rRNA". It matches the Rfam family "Archaeal small subunit ribosomal RNA", at positions 87 to 903 of the family's 1478-position model. The record is from RNAcentral.
UGCUCAGUAACACGUGGAUAACCUACCCUUAGGACCGGAAUAACCCCGGGAAACUGGGGAUAAUACCGGAUAAGCCAUAGACGCUGGAAUGCCCUAUGGUUCAAAGCUCCGGCGCCUAAGGAUGGAUCUGCGGUCUAUCAGGUUGUAGUGGGUGUAACGUACCUACUAGCCGACGACGGAUACGGGUUGUGAGAGCAAGAGCCCGGAGAUGGAUUCUGAGACACGAAUCCAGGCCCUACGGGGUGCAGCAGGCGCGAACACUUUACAAUGCGGGAAACCGCGAUAAGGGAACCCCGAGUGCCAGCAUCAAAUGUUGGCUGUCCAGAUGAUUAAAAAUCAUUUGUUAGCAAGGGCCGGGCAAGACCGGUGCCAGCCGCCGCGGUAACACCGGCGGCCCGAGUGGUAGCCGUUUUUAUUGGGUCUAAAGGGUCCGUAGCCGGCCUGAUAAGUCCUUUGGGAAAUCUGGCAGCUUAACUGUCAGGCUUCUAAGGGAUACUGUCAGGCUUGGGACCGGAAGAGGUAAGGGGUACUCCAGGGGUAGGAGUGAAAUCUUGUAAUCCCUGGGGGACCAUCUGUGGCGAAGGCGCCUUACCAGAACGGGUCCGACGGUGAGGGACGAAAGCUAGGGGAGCAAACCGGAUUAGAUACCCGGGUAGUCCUAGCUGUAAACGAUGCUCGCUAGGUGUCAGACACGGUGCGACCGUGUUUGGUGCCGCAGGGAAGCCGUUAAGCGAGCCACCUGGGAAGUACGGUCGCAAGGCUGAAACUUAAAGGAAUUGGCGGGGGAGCACUACAACGGGUGGAGCCUGCGGUUU